GCGCUCGAAGCUGGGGUUUGGGAGCACCGGUUUCCUAAACCGGGGGUCGCAGGUUCGAAUCCUGCCGGGCGCA
This 73-nucleotide transfer RNA is filed under the name Phycisphaerae bacterium. RNAcentral describes it as "tRNA-Arg". It matches the Rfam family "tRNA". From Rfam's summary of the family: Transfer RNA (tRNA) molecules are approximately 80 nucleotides in length. Their secondary structure includes four short double-helical elements and three loops (D, anti-codon, and T loops). Further hydrogen bonds mediate the characteristic L-shaped molecular structure. tRNAs have two regions of fundamental functional importance: the anti-codon, which is responsible for specific mRNA codon recognition, and the 3' end, to which the tRNAs corresponding amino acid is attached (by aminoacyl-tRNA synthetases). tRNAs cope with the degeneracy of the genetic code in two manners: having more than one tRNA (with a specific anti-codon) for a particular amino acid; and 'wobble' base-pairing, i.e. permitting non-standard base-pairing at the 3rd anti-codon position. Lineage: Bacteria; Pseudomonadati; Planctomycetota; Phycisphaerae. The record is from RNAcentral.